Transfer RNA from Ipomoea nil (Japanese morning glory), 72 nucleotides. It matches the Rfam family "tRNA". Rfam says of the family: Transfer RNA (tRNA) molecules are approximately 80 nucleotides in length. Their secondary structure includes four short double-helical elements and three loops (D, anti-codon, and T loops). The record is from Rfam. NCBI's taxonomy places the organism in Eukaryota, Viridiplantae, Streptophyta, Magnoliopsida, Solanales, Convolvulaceae.
AUCAGAGUGGCGCAGUGGAAGUGUGGUGGGCCCAUAACUCAUAGGUCCCAGGAUCAAAACUUGGCUUUGAUA